This 492-nucleotide ribosomal RNA is filed under the name uncultured bacterium. RNAcentral describes it as "partial 16S ribosomal RNA". It matches the Rfam family "Bacterial small subunit ribosomal RNA", at positions 32 to 507 of the family's 1533-position model. The record is from RNAcentral.
AUUUAACACUCGCGUCAUGCUUUACACAUGUAAGUCGAACGGUAACAGUCCUUCGUGUUCUGUCGAGUGGCGAACGGUGGAGUAAUGCAUCGGUACGUUCCCAGAGUUGGUGGAUAACUCAACGACAGCUUUGCUAAUACCGCAUGUGAUCUUAGCAUGAAAGCGGGCUACCAAGCCGCAAUGUUUGGCCUCGCGCCUUUGUAGCUGCUGAUGUCAGAUUAUUUAGUUGGUGGGUUAAAGGCCUACCAAGCAGACGAUGUGUAGCUGUUCUCAGAGGACUACCAGACACACUGGGAAUGAGACACGAACCAGACUCCUACGGGAGGCAGGAGUGGGGAAUUUUGGACAAUGGUGGAAAGAUUAAUCCAGCAAUGCAGCGUGCGGGAAGAAGGCCUUCGGGUUGUAAACCGCGUUUGUACGGAACGAAAAGGCUCUGGCUAAUACCUGGGGCUGAUGACGGUAACGUAAGAAUAAGCACCGGCUAACUACGUG